GAGGGUGAUCGGCCACAUUGGAACUGAGACACGGUCCAAACUCCUACGGGAGGCAGCAGUGGGGAAUAUUGCACAAUGGGCGAAAGCCUGAUGCAGCAACGCCGCGUGAGUGAUGAAGGCCUUCGGGUCGUAAAACUCUGUCCUCAAGGAAGAUAAUGACGGUACUUGAGGAGGAAGCCCCGGCUAACUACGUGCCAGCAGCCGCGGUAAUACGUAGGGGGCUAGCGUUAUCCGGAUUUACUGGGCGUAAAGGGUGCGUAGGCGGUCUUUCAAGUCAGGAGUGAAAGGCUACGGCUCAACCGUAGUAAGCUCUUGAAACUGGGAGACUUGAGUGCAGGAGAGGAGAGUGGAAUUCCUAGUGUAGCGGUGAAAUGCGUAGAUAUUAGGAGGAACACCAGUUGCGAAGGCGGCUCUCUGGACUGUAACUGACGCUGAGGCACGAAAGCGUGGGGAGCAAACAGGAUUAGAUACCCUGGUAGUCCACGCUGUAAACGAUGAGUACUAGGUGUCGGGGGUUACCCCCCUCGGUGCCGCAGCUAACGCAUUAAGUACUCCGCCUGGGAAGUACGCUCGCAAGAGUGAAACUCAAAGGAAUGGACGGGGACCCGCACAAGUAGCGGAGCAUGUGGUUUAAUUCGAAGCAACGCGAAGAACCUUACCUAAGCUUGACAUCCCAAUGACAUCUCCUUAAUCGGAGAGUUCCCUUCGGGGACAUUGGUGACAGGUGGUGCAUGGUUGUCGUCAGCUCGUGUCGUGAGAUGUUGGGUUAAGUCCCGCAACGAGCGCAACCCUUGUCUUUAGUUGCCAUCAUUAAGUUGGGCACUCUAGAGAGACUGCCAGGGAUAACCUGGAGGAAGGUGGGGAUGACGUCAAAUCAUCAUGCCCCUUAUGCUUAGGGCUACACACGUGCUACAAUGGGUAGUACAGAGGGUUGCCAAGCCGUAAGGUGGAGCUAAUCCCUUAAAGCUACUCUCAGUUCGGAUUGUAGGCUGAAACUCGCCUACAUGAAGCUGGAGUUACUAGUAAUCGCAGAU
This 1034-nucleotide ribosomal RNA is filed under the name Clostridioides difficile. RNAcentral describes it as "bacterial SSU rRNA". It matches the Rfam family "Bacterial small subunit ribosomal RNA", at positions 296 to 1349 of the family's 1533-position model. The record is from RNAcentral. Lineage: Bacteria; Bacillati; Bacillota; Clostridia; Peptostreptococcales; Peptostreptococcaceae.